CGUACGUCCGGACGUACCGAACGGAACGGAACGGACCGUCGGCGGGGCCGGGUCGGGAGGUUAAGGUUACGACUGUGAACUACGGACGGUAGGAGGCUUUAUCGUAAGAUAGAGUUUGAGAGUGGCGAACGGGUGAGUAACACGUAGGAAUCUACCCUUAAGACGGGGACAACCCAGGGAAACUUGGGCUAAUACCGGAUGAGAGUGCGAGAGAUUGCAUUUAAAAGGAUGGCGAAAGUUGUCGCUUAGGGAUGAGCCUGCGGUCUAUUAGUUAGUUGGUGAGGUAAGAGCUCACCAAGGCGAUGAUAGAUAGGCGGCCUUAACGGGUGGUCGCCCACACUGGGAUUGAGAUACGGCCCAGACUCCUACGGGAGGCAGCAGUCGAGAAUAGUCUACAAUGGCCGGAAGGCUGAUAGUGCGACGCCGCGUGAACGAGGGAGCCCUUCGGGGUGUAAAGUUCUUUUCUAUACGAGCAGUGCUAUAUAUAUGGAUAGUAUAUAUAGAGGGAUAGUAGUAUAGGAAUAAGCAACGGCUAACUCCGUG
Molecule: ribosomal RNA, 543 nt
Filed under: uncultured bacterium
Lineage: Bacteria
Description: bacterial SSU rRNA
Rfam family: Bacterial small subunit ribosomal RNA
Source: RNAcentral